RNAcentral lists this ribosomal RNA (232 nucleotides) under uncultured bacterium. RNAcentral's name for it is "partial 16S ribosomal RNA". It matches the Rfam family "Bacterial small subunit ribosomal RNA", at positions 91 to 339 of the family's 1533-position model. The record is from RNAcentral.
CCUAGCGGCAGACGGGUGCGUAACAUGUGGGAAUCUGCCUUUUGGUACGGAAUAACACGGGGAAACCUGUGCUAAUACCGGAUAAGUCCUUACGGAGAAAGCUUUAUGCACCAUUGGAUGAGCCCGCAUUUGAUUAGUUUGUUGGUAGGGUAAUGGCCUACCAAGACUAUGAUCAAUAGCUGAUUUGAGAGGAUGAUCAGCCACAUUGGGACUGAGAUACGGCCCAGACUCC